RNAcentral lists this ribosomal RNA (447 nucleotides) under uncultured bacterium. RNAcentral's name for it is "bacterial SSU rRNA". It matches the Rfam family "Bacterial small subunit ribosomal RNA", at positions 330 to 793 of the family's 1533-position model. The record is from RNAcentral.
UCCAGACUCCUACGGGAGGCAGCAGUGGGGAAUAUUGCACAAUGGGGGAAACCCUGAUGCAGCAACGCCGCGUGGGUGAAGGAGCGUUUCGGCGCGUAAAGCCCUGUCAGCGGGGAAGAAGAAAGACGGUACCCGACCAAGAAGCCCCGGCUAACUACGUGCCAGCAGCCGCGGUAAUACGUAGGGGGCGAGCGUUAUCCGGAUUUACUGGGUGUAAAGGGCGUGUAGGCGGGAAAGCAAGUCAGAUGUGAAAACCAUGGGCUCAACCUGUGGCCUGCAUUUGAAACUGUUUUUCUUGAGUACUGGAGAGGCAGACGGAAUUCCUAGUGUAGCGGUGAAAUGCGUAGAUAUUAGGAGGAACACCAGUGGCGAAGGCGGUCUGCUGGACAGCAACUGACGCUGAGGCGCGAAAGCGUGGGGAGCAAACAGGAUUAGAUACCCGCGUAU